UGCAUUUGCUCUAUUUAUAAUGUCCACAUCUUAAUUUGUAAUAUUAGCGAUCAUAGUAUUCCCCUGCUAGGUAAUCAGAGGGCAGCACAGAGGAGCUGUUUACUCACGGGUUUCCGUUCCCUUUGCUCUGUUGUGCAGCCAGGCCAACACCCGCGCUCUUCUCUCAGCAGAUGAAAGGGGAGGGCAGGGCCAGAUGAAAGCCCUGCACAGAUGUGCUGGAGCAUCCCCAGCCAGCAUGUGAGAUCUGUCUGCCAGGAAGGGAAGCAGCCGAAAACCAGUCACUCCUUUCAGGAAUCAUGAAGAUGCGCUGGAGAUGGAAAACAUAAGGAUUACCCAACAGCCUUAAAAAGAUCGAUUGGCUUUUGCAAAACUCUCACCAAGAAGCCUGCAGAGAGGAAUCCAGCAUGAGCGAUCAUCAGCUGAGGAACAUCACAACCGUGUAAAAAGGAAACGGGAAAAGGAAAGUGUAUCUCACCGCUGUUCACUUCUAACAGGAGUAGAAGUGUUACACCCUGAGGUGCCAAACUGAAGACCUGAGGGAGAAUUAUCUCGUACAAGAUCAAGCAGGAAUGCCUACUGCAUGGUGUAUUGUUUGUGCAGUAACUUUUCUCCUGGGAAAGAACACGACUUUAUGGCAGACAGGAAUGCUGACCCACUUGCCUUCUGCUGCAGGCAUCCAUCAAACCUGGCCUCUGUUUCCCCUGGAGCCUUAAUUUUCCUCUUGACAGCAAAGACAAAUGACGGCCGCAGGGCUGUUUGCUUGUGUCUACUCAAGGUUUCCAUAACAUUUCUUAAAGAUGACCUGUUUUUAAACACACAUGGAGUUUUCUCUCUGCUGUCACCUACCAGCAUGAAAGCAGAAUCAGGUUUGUUAUAA
This 877-nucleotide long non-coding RNA is filed under the name Coturnix japonica (Japanese quail). Its description in RNAcentral is "lncRNA (ENSCJPG00005005174.1)". Lineage: Eukaryota; Metazoa; Chordata; Aves; Galliformes; Phasianidae. The record is from RNAcentral.